GUGGGGUUAUGGCUCAGUGGCAGAAUGCUUGCCUAGCAUGUGUGAGGCCCUGGGUUUGAGUCUCAGCACCACA
This 73-nucleotide transfer RNA is filed under the name Marmota monax (woodchuck). Its description in RNAcentral is "tRNA.Ala". Lineage: Eukaryota; Metazoa; Chordata; Mammalia; Rodentia; Sciuridae. The record is from RNAcentral.